GACGAACGCUGGCAGCGUGCUUAACACAUGCAAGUCGAACGGACAGACAGAGAGCUUGCUCUCUUGAAGUUAGUGGCGAACGGGUGAGUAACGCGUAAUCAACCUGCCCUUCAGAGGGGGAUAACAACGGGAAACCGUUGCUAAUACCGCGUACGAUUCAUGAACGGCAUCGUUUAUGAAUGAAAGGUGGCCUCUAUGUAUAAGCUAUCGCUGGAGGAGGGGAUUGCGUCUGAUUAGCUAGUUGGAGGGGUAACGGCCCACCAAGGCAAUGAUAAGUAGCCGGUCUGAGAGGAUGAACGGCCACAUUGGGACUGAGACACGGCCCAAACUCCUACGGGAGGCAGCAAUGGGGAAUCUUCCGCAAUGGACGAAAGUCUGACGGAGCAACGCCGCGUGAGUGAUGAAGGUCUUCGGAUUGUAAAGCUCUGUUAAUCGGGACGAAAGAGUUCUGCGUGAAUAAUGCAGAAAAGUGACGGUACCGGAAUAGAAAGCCACGGCUAACUACGUGCCAGCAGCCGCGGUAA
RNAcentral lists this ribosomal RNA (524 nucleotides) under uncultured bacterium. RNAcentral's name for it is "partial 16S ribosomal RNA". It matches the Rfam family "Bacterial small subunit ribosomal RNA", at positions 28 to 523 of the family's 1533-position model. The record is from RNAcentral.